AUGCAGAUGAUGCAUAUUUCACGAGUUGCAGACCCCCCAACAGCAAAUUCAGUCCUACAUUUUUUAUGGUUACACAGAGAUGGCUGGCUCCGUCCUGCUCCAGUGAUGGCUUCCAUCCACCCGAUGAACAGGACUACAUGGGAGAUGUAUGACGACCUAGCAAACCCCCGUCUGGUCAGCAGAAGUAUUCUGAUACUUUUCCUUAUGAGCCGGUGGCAGCCAAUGAGGGUUCCCCAUCCGAUGCUUGGUGCGGAGAAGGGGCCGUUCUCCUCUCAUGCAAGCGGCCCAAGUGCUGCCUGA
This 300-nucleotide ribosomal RNA is filed under the name Triticum aestivum (bread wheat). RNAcentral describes it as "partial small subunit ribosomal RNA". The record is from RNAcentral. Lineage: Eukaryota; Viridiplantae; Streptophyta; Magnoliopsida; Poales; Poaceae.